AGAGUUUGAUCCUGGCUCAGGAUGAACGCCGGCGGUGUGCCUAAUACAUGCAAGUCGUACGCACUGGCCCUACUGAUUGAUGGUGCUUGCACUUGAUUGACGUUGGAUCACCAGUGAGUGGCGGACGGGUGAGUAACACGUAGGUAACCUGCCCCGGAGCGGGGGAUAACAUUUGGAAACAGAUGCUAAUACCGCAUAACAACAAAAGCCACAUGGCUUUUGUUUGAAAGAUGGCUUUGGCUAUCACUCCGGGAUGGACCUGCGGUGCAUUAGCUAGUUGGUAAGGUAACGGCUUACCAAGGCAAUGAUGCAUAGCCGAGUUGAGAGACUGAUCGGCCACAAUGGAACUGAGACACGGUCCAUACUCCUACGGGAGGCAGCAGUAGGGAAUCUUCCACAAUGGGCGCAAGCCUGAUGGAGCAACACCGCGUGAGUGAAGAAGGGUUUCGGCUCGUAAAGCUCUGUUGUUGGAGAAGAACGUGCGUGAGAGUAACUGUUCACGCAGUGACGGUAUCCAACCAGAAAGUCACGGCUAACUACGUGCCAGCAGCCGCGGUAAUACGUGGGUGGCAAGCGUUAUCCGGAUUUAUUGGGCGUAAAGCGAGCGCAGGCGGUUGCUUAGGUCUGAUGUGAAAGCCUUCGGCUUAACCGAAGAAGUGCAUCGGAAACCGGGCGACUUGAGUGCAGAAGAGGACAGUGGAACUCCAUGUGUAGCGGUGGAAUGCGUAGAUAUAUGGAAGAACACCAGUGGCGAAGGCGGCUGUCUGGUCUGCAACUGACGCUGAGGCUCGAAAGCAUGGGUAGCGAACAGGAUUAGAUACCCUGGUAGUCCAUGCCGUAAACGAUGAAGUGCUAGGUGUUGGAGGGUUUCCGCCCUUCAGUGCCGGAGCUAACGCAUUAAGCACUCCGCCUGGGGAGUACGACCGCAAGGUUGAAACUCAAAGGAAUUGACGGGGGCCCGCACAAGCGGUGGAGCAUGUGGUUUAAUUCGAAGCUACGCGAAGAGCCUUCCCAGGUCUUGACAUCUUGCGCUAACCUUAGAGAUAAGGCGUUCCCUUCGGGGACGCAAUGACAGGUGGUGCAUGGUCGUCGUCAGCUCGUGUCGUGAGAUGUUGGGUUAAGUCCCGCAACGAGUGCAACCCUUGUUACUAGUUGCCAGCAUUAAGUCUGGGCACUCUAGUGAGACUCCCGGCGACAACCCGGAGGAAGGUGGGGACGACGUCAGAUCAUCAUGCCCCUCAUGACCUGGGCUACACACGUGCUACAAUGGUCGGUACAACGAGUUGCUAACUCGCGAGAGCAAGGUAAUCUCUUAAAGCCGUUAUCAGUUCGGACAUGUAGGCUGCAAUCUCGCCUACACGAAGUCGCGAAUCGCUAGCUAAUCGCGGAUCAGCAUGCCGCGGUGAAUACGUU
RNAcentral lists this ribosomal RNA (1413 nucleotides) under uncultured bacterium. RNAcentral describes it as "16S ribosomal RNA". It matches the Rfam family "Bacterial small subunit ribosomal RNA", at positions 8 to 1372 of the family's 1533-position model. The record is from RNAcentral.